This 1352-nucleotide long non-coding RNA is filed under the name Ficedula albicollis (Collared flycatcher). RNAcentral's name for it is "lncRNA (ENSFALG00000018263.2)". Lineage: Eukaryota; Metazoa; Chordata; Aves; Passeriformes; Muscicapidae. The record is from RNAcentral.
CCCCCCCCCCCCCCCCCCCCCCCCCCCCCCCCCCCCCCCCCCCCCCCCCCCCCCCCCCCCCCCCCCCCGAACUAGAGCUGAGGGACAGCGGGGACGAGCUGAGGGAGCUGGAACUAGAGCUGAGGGACAGCGGGGACGAGCCGAGGGAACUGGCCGGCUGAGGGAAGCAGGGCGGCCCUGAGGGGGAGCCUGGCCAGUGCGAGCCCUGAAGGAGCCCAGGCUUGUGUGGCUGGGCGAGCACAUAGGACGGAUUCCCUUAAAGUGAGGGAUGCAGUUGUGUGAACCUCCAUAGUCUUCCACGGCAUCUUCCAGGAGAAAUUCCGAGUACAUUCCUCACCUCUGAUUUUGUGUGAUCACAUGCCAGAGCACUCCGGGAGGUGGGGAUCAGGGCAAGGGUGCAGAGUAAGCAAGCCCAAUGACAACUAAUUUUACAAUAAUCACCAAUAUCGUGCUUCACAUUUACAGAGGGGAAGAUCAAGGCACUGACAGAUGAAGUCUAGUCCAAGAUGAAACAGAAAAGCAGUGGAAGGUUGAGCUCCUGCAAGCUGAAUUACACCUUUAUUCUUCACUUGCUUUCCUGGCAGCAGGAUCUGCAUGCAAGGCUCCUUCCUCUCCACUGCUUUUCACCUACAAGGUCUAAUUGAAGAAGAAAAUGACAACCGUGGGGUGCGAUUCGUUCCCUGGCUGAUGCCCCUCUGAGAAUGCAGUGGCACUGAGCCACUGAAAGCAGCAGCGAUGCAGUCGAUGUGACAGUGCAAGGGCAGAUGCUCUGGACGGUAGAGGAUGCUAGAGAAGAGGUAAAUUUUCCACGGCGCUUUUCCCCAUUAGCAGUCCCUGAAACCUCGCGUGGUAUCAGCUCGAGCCAGCGUUUCCCCGUGCAGGGGCUGCUUUAGGCACUUCGAGCUGUGUGUGCCUGCCCGUGUGUGCCCGCUGCUCCAGCUGCGUGCGUGCCUCUGCUUGCAAACCUGGCACCUUGAAAUGGCUCCAGAAGUUUGCAUGAUCUCCCUCUAAGAACGUCCGCGGGGUAUGAGAGGUCUGUGUUCGGGAGAUCGCGGUGUUUGAGCCGCAGGAGGCAGGGAGCCGUGCUUUCCCCCCAUCUCCUGCCUCUGCUGAGCCACCAAGUGUUUCUGCCUCGCCUAUAGUUUUUUUCCUCAUUCCCACAUGCUCGGGCGGCAACCUUGGGAUGCCGGGGUGGCAGUCUGAUUCUUUGUCCUUCUAGGCUAUUAAAUGUAUUUUAAUUGGAUCGGGCAGAGAAAAAACCCCAAAACACAUACAUAGAGCCCAAGGCGUUAGGACUAGAUCCCCCUUCCCCGAAACAACAAACAGUUAAAUAAAUAACGAGAUGCCAAACC